RNAcentral lists this ribosomal RNA (206 nucleotides) under uncultured bacterium. Its description in RNAcentral is "partial 16S ribosomal RNA". It matches the Rfam family "Bacterial small subunit ribosomal RNA", at positions 568 to 774 of the family's 1533-position model. The record is from RNAcentral.
CGCGUAGGCGGCCGCACAAGUCCGGAGUGGAAGUCCUGUUUCAAGGCAGGAAUGGCUCUGGAAACUGUGAGGCUUGAGUGCGGGAGAGGUUAUCGGAAUUCCCGGUGUAGCGGUGAAAUGCGUAGAGAUCGGGAGGAACACCAGUGGCGAAGGCGGGUAACUGGACCGCAACUGACGCUGAGGCGCGAAAGUGUGGGGAGCAAACA